AAUAUGUUUGUUUUUUUAAACAAUAAUUUCAUUGAUCUGGCGUAGGAUAUCUCCUUUUUCUGGCGUAAAAUAUAUCACCACCCAUAUAUGAUAGAUGAUAAAGUCUAGUUCCCUGAGUUCUUCUUUUUCCUCAGAUGAAAAUCCUCAGAUGAGCAUUUUCUCAAGUGCGGAUGGAGCUCUUUGCUCAUGUAUGGGAUGCACUGAGCACUGCCUUCAGCUGCGCCUCUUUGUUUAUCUAUGAGGGGGGCUAGAUUCUAACUCAGAUUGGUUUUGCUAUAGGUUGGUGACCCCAAAAUAUAUCAAAUGCAUCAUGGUUGGUAAUUUUAUAUGUCCGACACCAAGAAAUAUGUCAGGGUUACCAUGGCAACUGCAUGUGUUCUGAAAAGCUUGUGAAUGGGCUCUGAACCUUCUGGCAUUUUAACUGAGAUUUUCCAGCUGAGAGUCUGAAUACAUGAUCAGUGUAAAUAAAUUCAGCUUUCUGUGGAGAGGACAUCCUGUCUCCGGAGUUGACUACCCUGCUCAGUUCUUUCUCUUGUAACAUCUACCUUGCCUCUUGGUUCCCAGUCACAGGCUAUGUGAAAGCUUGUUUUCAGCCUCAGGUUGGGGAGCCAUCUGACCACAGUUACCAAUGGACCAUGUAGAAUGGAUCCAUUGCCUGAUAAUCCCCUCACCCCAAACUGUACUUGUAGCUUCAUGUCCUACUGUGGUGUGGUGUUCUGGUGGAGCUUGCUGUCCAUCUGAAAAACUUCUUUCUAGAAGUUUCCAGCUCCAGAGAGCCUGACUUGCUGUUAGUUUGAAAGCUGUGGUGGUUGGUUUGGGGAAGGAGAUCUAGUGAGCAAGCUUAUGUGAAUUAUAAUGGAGGACCAAUUGGCUUUAUGAUCAAAGGGUUGUUGGCAGCAUUUAUAACCAGUUCACUCCCCAAGCUGAGCGUGGUACAUACACCUUUGCUCUUAGUACUCGGCACUCAGGAGGCAGAGGCAGCAGAUCUCUGGGAGUUCAAGGCCAGCCUGGUCUGUGUGUUGAGUUCCAUGCCAGCCAUAGCUGGAAAGAACUAUCAAACAACAAAAAGCAAAACAAGCAAACAAGCAGUCCUCCUUGUAUAUUCAGACAACCUUGAAAUCCCUUUGGAGACAAGGUCUUGCUUUAAAGCCCUAGUGUGCUUGAGCUCACUAUGUUUACCUGUUUGGCCUAGAACUCAGAAUUAUAUGGUAUGACUGUUCAUUUGAAAGUAAGCUAGUCUUUGAGCCACCCACUAGUGGGUGUAUUGCUGUGGCUUACCUCUGGGCCUCAUUUGGGAUCUUUGUCUGAUUCUGUUCUUUAAUUUCAGAUGAGAAAACCGAGGCCCAAAGAAGCUAUGUCCUUGGUUGGGGUCCCAGAGUAGGCCAGACCCAGGUGCAGGAUCAGAACUCCGCUCCUGCUCCUGGAUGUCUGCUCCCCUGAGGCUCAUGUCCUGACAGAAUUUGCUCUCAGCUAAUACAUCUGUUUUCCUUUUGUCAGAAGGGGGGGUCUUUCAUAAUUUCAGGUCUAACUUAGAGAACUCUUCAAUUUAAAUUUUAAAAACUUUUUUCUACAUUUUUUCCUUUCUUUCAUCAUUUAAUAAUUUCUGCUCAGUGUGCUGAUCCUGAUACAUCCAUGGGGAGGACAUGACCUCUGCCCUGUGUGCCCCUUGCUGUGAUGAGAGAGCUCCUGGCUGUCCACAUGAGUUCUGGAUUGAGGGGCUGAGGAGAUGGUGCAGUUGAUAAAGUACUCACCAUUUGAGCACCAAGACCCUAGUGUAGAUCCCCAGCACCCAGGUUUAAAAACAGUGCUAAGGCUGGGGUGGACAUAGGGCUGCCUACCAAGUCCCCAGCUCUGGGGUUGUCAGCGACCUUGUCUGAAACUCGGAGGUGGAGGAUGAGGAAGGUGUCCAUUGUCAGCCUCCUGCCACCACAGCACACACUCUCAAGAUUAGUGGCUGCUGUGACAUCACACUGAUGAAGGCAGAGUGACAUAAUGAUAGCAGUCCUGAUCUAUUACAUGAAGUAAGGGGUCGCACUCUCAGAAGUUGAAAUGCGAAUUGAUUUUCCAACCAGAUUGUGCUUAACCUUGGUUUUUAAAUUUCUGGUGUUUAAAAAUUAAGAUUUCAGAGGGCUGGAGAGAUGCCUCGGUGGUUAAGAGCACUGGGUGCUCUUGUAGAGGACCGGGGCUCAGUUCCCCAUCCACAUGGCCCCUCAUAACCAUUUGUAACUUCAGUUCCAGGGAAUCCAUUGUACUUCAUGGGUACCAGCCUUAUAUGUUUUAUAUGUGGUACAUGUACAUAUACAUAUAUAUACAUGCAGGCAAAAUACUCAUACACAUAAAAUAUUCUCUAAAAAUUAAGAAAAAUUUUUAUUGUAAAAAUUUUUUAUUGUAAGUCACAUAAGGUGAUGAAUUGUAUUUUUUUCUCUUAAUCUUUUUUUAAAAGAUGUAUUUAUUUUAUUUAUAUGAGUACACUGUAGCUGUCUUCAGACACACACCAGAAGAGGGCAUCGGAUCCCAUUACAGAUGGUUGUGAGCCACCAUGUGGUUGCUGAGAAUUGAACUCAGAACCUCUGGAAGAGCAGUCAGUGCUCCUAACCACAGAGCCAUCUCUCUAGCCCCUCAAUAUUCAUUCUUUUUCUUCCUUCCUGUCUUGUCUGUCUGUCUUCCUUUCUUUCUUUCUUUCAUUUUUUUUUUAAUUAAAGACAGGGUCUAGCGUCUCUCUAUGUAGCCCUGAUCAUCCCUGAUCAUCCUAGAACUCAUUGUGUAGACCGGGCUGGUCUUAAACUCACAGAAUGCUUGCCUCCCAGUGCUGGGGUUAAAGGUAUGCACCAUCACACCUGGUUUCCUCCUCCUCCUUUAAAUAAAUAAAUAAAUAGAUAAAAAUUAUUUUCUUUGUAUGAGUGUCACUUGUAGACAUGAGUACAUGUCUGGACUCACAGAGACCAGAAGUGCAGGAUCCCCUGGAACUGGAGUUGUGGAUUGUUAUAAGCUACCCUGAAGGUGCUAGCUACCAAGUCCUGAUCCCCUGGAAGAACAGCAGAUGUUCUUAAUCACUGAGUCAUGUGCCUUUAGCCUUCCUUUCUUUCUCAGCUGCUGCCUUUAUUCACCGAGCCCAUCUCACUGGCCCAAAGUGUAUUACUAACAUAAUUUAUAUAGCAUGGACUGCCUUGUUAAUACAUGGUAUCCAGUGUUGGUGUGUCCAAAAUCCUUUUUAACUUUAGAACACUUUAGUCAACCUAAAGCUAUAGACUCUUAAUUUAUUCAGCAGACAAAUUAAGAGUGAAAGGCCAGCAUCAUGACUCAUUAUGUUGAACUGUGGUCCUGUGUGCCUUGCCCUGUAAGCAGAACUUCAAACGGAAGGGUGCAGGUGGCAGCCGAGCUGUGGUGUCCAUGGCUGCUGGCCCUCAGAAGCGCUUUAGGUAAAUAAGAGUUUCUGUUGAAGCUCUGGCAAGAGGCUGUAAACUAGAUUUUUGAGGAGGGGAAAGUCAAUUUUGAUAGGACAGAGGUCACACUUCAGGCAGAAGGACAUCCGUGGCAGAUCAUCCUGCUGGGUGAGAAUAGACUACAGGGUUUGAAGCAUUGCUUGAGUUCAUGUGUACGAUAAGCCUACACACUUUUCUUUUGUCUUUUCCUACGUGUCCUGUGUUCCUUUAUUCCCACACACGCCUGGUUAAAAGACCACACCAUAGGCAGAAGGGAAGGCAUGGCCCAAAGAGGAAAGGGCUGGUCCUAGCCUGGAUCAUCAGGUCAGCACCAUCGUCUAUGUGUCUGCCUUGUGAGACUGGUCCUAAGAUUAGAGGCAUAGUUUACACUAAGAAUAACUCCAAUAUCAAAACCUUAAGAUUAGUCUUUUGUUUAGAGAAAGAAAAUACAGUAAUCAAAGUAAAGUUUCUUGACUUGUAAAAAAUAUAAGAUGAGAGCCAAACAUGGUCGCAUACACCUUUGAUCACAGUAUUCAGGAGGCAGAGCCAGGUAGAUCUCUGUGAGUUUGAGGCAAGCUUGGCCUAUCUAGUGGGUUCCAGGCCAGCUAGGACUACAUGGUAAUACUUUGUCU
RNAcentral lists this long non-coding RNA (4054 nucleotides) under Mus musculus (house mouse). RNAcentral's name for it is "long non-coding RNA chr12:111203776-111207830". The record is from RNAcentral. Lineage: Eukaryota; Metazoa; Chordata; Mammalia; Rodentia; Muridae.